UAGCUAAACGGGAGAAGCUAUAGCGCUAUAUGUCAAUAUUAAAAUCAUAAGCGUAUAGCUUUUCCCCUUGGUUA
Bombyx mori (domestic silkworm) is the source of this 74-nucleotide non-coding RNA. The record is from Rfam. Lineage: Eukaryota; Metazoa; Arthropoda; Insecta; Lepidoptera; Bombycidae.